This 468-nucleotide ribosomal RNA is filed under the name uncultured bacterium. RNAcentral's name for it is "partial 16S ribosomal RNA". It matches the Rfam family "Bacterial small subunit ribosomal RNA", at positions 28 to 507 of the family's 1533-position model. The record is from RNAcentral.
GACGAACGCUGGCGGCGUGCUUUACACAUGCAAGUCGAACGGAAAGGCCCUGCUUUUGUGGGGUGCUCGAGUGGCGAACGGGUGAGUAACACGUGAGUAACCUGCCCUUGACUUUGGGAUAACUUCAGGAAACUGGGGCUAAUACCGGAUAGGAGCUCCUGCUGCAUGGUGGGGGUUGGAAAGUUUCGGCGGUUGGGGAUGGACUCGCGGCUUAUCAGCUUGUUGGUGGGGUAGUGGCUUACCAAGGCUUUGACGGGUAGCCGGCCUGAGAGGGUGACCGGCCACAUUGGGACUGAGAUACGGCCCAGACUCCUACGGGAGGCAGCAGUGGGGAAUAUUGCACAAUGGGCGGAAGCCUGAUGCAGCAACGCCGCGGGCGGGAUGACGGCCUUCGGGUUGUAAACCGCUUUCGCCUGUGACGAAGCGUGAGUGACGGUAAUGGGUAAAGAAGCACCGGCUAACUACGUG